RNAcentral lists this ribosomal RNA (480 nucleotides) under Triticum aestivum (bread wheat). RNAcentral describes it as "partial small subunit ribosomal RNA". The record is from RNAcentral. Lineage: Eukaryota; Viridiplantae; Streptophyta; Magnoliopsida; Poales; Poaceae.
AUGCAAUUUGGCACCGCAAGCACCGGCCUCCGACGUCCUCUCCUCCCCUUCAUUUUUUUGCUUUUUCAGAUUUCACUUGGGCACAAUACUUCAGUUCGCUUUGGGCAUCAGUGCGGUGCAGCUGGAUGUCCAGUCCACCGACGAGCGUGCUUGCAUUUCGGUGGCAUGAGGCUCGUGGUCAGACGUGCAGUCCGGUGGAACCGGCGAGUUCAUUUCGGUGCUCGCCGCCAUAGUUUGUUUCUUUUUUUGCAGUCUCCCCUGGCCGUGGAGUUUACUCAAAGAAGAGAAGUCACGCUCGGGCCGCACUGCAGUCCGAUGGCGGGGCGCGUUCAGUGCUCUAUUGCUUUGGUGGGAGAAAAGGGAGUCCUAGUGUCGCCUCUAAACUCUUUUGGUGAUGCGGUUACGUCCACCUGCACGCACAACCCAGAAAAAGAGUCGAGUGGACUAUACGGUUGGUUGUUCCUGGGUUCAAUUCACUAA